This 2674-nucleotide long non-coding RNA is filed under the name Panax ginseng (ginseng). Its description in RNAcentral is "long non-coding RNA (PGIN_LNC000151)". Lineage: Eukaryota; Viridiplantae; Streptophyta; Magnoliopsida; Apiales; Araliaceae. The record is from RNAcentral.
UCCAAACAAAUAUUUAUUUCAGGAAUUUACACAUCUGUAUCCUGUACAACAUUAUCAUAAUACCAUCUAAAUUUCAGCCAAAGGAAACAAUAUUCCCUUUUUUUCUCUUAUCCAUAUUAUCCAGAUGACAUGUGGUAUAACAUUGAAUUUUGAACCUACAAAAAAUUUAGCAAAUUUAAUAGACUAUCAUUCAUCAUAUAACACAUAGUUUCAUACUCAGAAUAUAUCUUUCAUAUCAUCAUCUUAUAUUAUCAACAUAAUACAUGCUUUAAACAAACUGAGUUCCAUAACUCAAAUCACCUUAGUCAUAUGUUUAAUUUACUCAUUCACGAAGUAUCAUAAAGAAAAUCAUGCAUGCUCAUAUACUUGUAAACAUAAAACAUGUAAACACAGAAAUAGACUUAAAAACUUGCCUCGGUUCUUGGUUCAUCAUCUACCUCAGUUAUAUUCAAUACUUCUAUUCCAUUCAAAAAGAAGGAUAAUGCCUUGACCUUUUUCAAAUACCUCAUCCAUGCUUAUAUGUAAGUCUUUUAUCUGUAUUUCGUUGAACACAAAGAUAAGCAAAAAUAACUAUACCUCAGCUUUAAACAACACUAGUUUUAUAUCAUAACAACAUCUCUCUAUAUCAGUUUCUGAGAAAUUUUUACAUUUCUUUAGAAUUUUCAAGAUUUUGACUUAAAAUAGUCAUAAGCUUGCAAAAAGUUCUAAUACUUCUUUUAAAAUGCCAAAACAUUGCAUUUACAUUUUAUAACCCCUUUUACAAGGUAUUUAUAGAUUUAAUAUACAUCUGUAUGAAAAUUCACAGUUAUAUAGUGCGGCUAUGACCUUCUUUGCGCAUUCUUAGCUUAACUUUCUUUCACGAAUCCUACAUAAUUAUAUUCACGUAUACGAACGUAUUAGCCAUGAAUCCAUAACAUAUAACUUGUAUAGUUAUCUAUUAAAUAUCCAUAUUGGCCAUAUCAAUAGCUUUCCUUCUUGUUUUUGAAAAACUCUUAUAUUCAUUUCAAAACUUUUAUUCUUUUACUUACGGUAGUCAUUUAUUGCUUAAUAGCCUUUGACGUGGUUUUAAUACAUGUAUACUUCACAAUUUCAGUUUAUAAACCACUCAUAACUUAAUACAUGAGUAUUCCAUACAUCUUAUACAUAACUCAAGUGUACAACAAAAAUUUAUAACGUAUUUCAUAUCUUGGAAGUAAUUAUAACUUUUUUGGGUAACUUAUAGUUCCCAUAAUAAUUUAUAGUUUUAUUACCGUACAUUAUCGCAUUAAAUAUUCUUACAUUUCAAUGUAAUGCCAAAAUAUCCCUCUUUUUGACCAAGUGUGUCUAACAGCUCCUUGUUGUCUUUCUAUGCCGGUAGCUAAGCUUGACUUGGCCCCGUGGGGCUCAACUAAGCUUGGUGCGGCCUCGCUUGACCCUGCGGCCCCAAUCGUAGCCCAACAACCCCAAACUUGGUUUUUUUUAUCUUGUAGAUCCAAUUAUAUUACAUUAUAAAUAUAUUAUAGAUUCUAUAACACGUAUACUUGAUUAUUCUAAAAACAUUAUAAGCUAUUCUUGCCGAGUAAACUAACACAAAGCCACAAUUGGCCCAAAAAAAAUUGAUACUCGCUUCUACUACUGUGCUAACUGAUGCUGCCAAUGGGCAACAUCCCCUUCUACCUUAUCCAUCAUUUUGACAAACCAUUUUUCCAUGACUUUGGAUCCGUUCAUGAUGAAAAGUUACAUAUUGCAUAGGUGGUGUACCCACCCAUUUAUGAAAGUAAUAGACUAAACGUUUCGGAUAAAUAACACAUGACAAUUUGAGAGCGCAAGGGAGGUUCUCCUGCUGCCCUGUAACGUGAUGUUGCUGUCUACUGUUAUGCACAGCAGCAGCAUUUUGUGCAUCGGGCUACUUCACACCUUUAUAUCUUUUAGCCUACAACUCCAAUCAUGCCCCAUUUUAAGUAUGUUGUAGACACUAUAGAAUACUAGUUAGAAAAAUAUUAGCCUUCCAUGUUUGGACUCUUUGGGCUGCUCAAAACAAUACCCAAAAGUAGCUUAUCAUACUAGUUUUCAAUUUUUCAUUUUAGCUAAAAAUUGUUUUCCGUUCUAAUAUAAUACGCCCAAACUCUUUAAUUAUCAUCAUAUGUAAUAUAUGAAUAUAUCCCAAGCCUUGUUUCUAUCUAAUAUUUGAUUUUUAAUAAAAACAGUCCAUAUAGGACUUUUAGAAAACACCUUGCGUACACUGUUUUGAAAUACCAAUUUCAUAGCUAUUUGUUUGUUUCAUAACUCUAUAUUAGCCUCCUUAUAUCUCCACACAACCAACCUAUACUCAUUUGCUAUAUUUCAGUCAAUAGCAGUCCAUUUCAUAAUCAAACUAAACAUAUUAGUUUAUAACUUGUUAGUUUACUAACUUUACAAAUUCUUCAAAGUUUUAUAUUUUCCUUUGAUUCUACAUAUUUGAUAUACAAUAUCUCCAUUCCCAUGGAUUAUACAAUAUCACAUAAAUAAUACCCAGUGCCUCAAUUAUCAAUUUCUUACAUAAACAUCUACCUCAAUUUUUAUAAACAUAACAAGAGAUGUAGAUUACCUCUUGUUUGCUAUCUAACUUGACUUUCUUGCUACCACAGCCCUCCUUUGAUAUCAUGAUGCCAUCUUCAGUCCAUUAUGCUAAAUUUCUUGCCAAUAUAAAUGAUUG